CCUACGGGAGGCAGCAGUGGGGAAUAUUGCACAAUGGGCGCAAGCCUGAUGCAGCAACGCCGCGUGGGGGAUGAAGGCCUUCGGGUUGUAAACCCCUUUUAGCAGGGAAGAAGCGAAAGUGACGGUACCUGCAGAAAAAGCGCCGGCUAACUACGUGCCAGCAGCCGCGGUAAUACGUAGGGCGCAAGCGUUGUCCGGAAUUAUUGGGCGUAAAGAGCUCGUAGGCGGUUUGUCGCGUCUGCUGUGAAAACCCGAGGCUCAACCUCGGGCCUGCAGUGGGUACGGGCAGACUAGAGUGUGGUAGGGGAGACUGGAAUUCCUGGUGUAGCGGUGGAAUGCGCAGAUAUCAGGAGGAACACCAAUGGCGAAGGCAGGUCUCUGGGCCACAACUGACGCUGAGGAGCGAAAGCGUGGGGAGCGAACAGGAUUAGAUACCCUGGUAGUCCACGCCGUAAACGGUGGGCACUAGAUGUGGGGCUCUUUCCAUGAGUUCCGCGUCGCAGCUAACGCAUUAAGUGCCCCGCCUGGGGAGUACGGCCGCAAGGCUAAAACUCAAAGGAAUUGACGG
This 568-nucleotide ribosomal RNA is filed under the name uncultured Actinomycetes bacterium. RNAcentral's name for it is "bacterial SSU rRNA". It matches the Rfam family "Bacterial small subunit ribosomal RNA", at positions 338 to 916 of the family's 1533-position model. The record is from RNAcentral. Lineage: Bacteria; Bacillati; Actinomycetota; Actinomycetes.